CCUACGGGUGGCAGCAGUGGGGAAUAUUGGACAAUGGGCGAAAGCCUGAUCCAGCCAUGCCGCGUGUGUGAAGAAGGCCUUCGGGUUGUAAAGCACUUUCAGUGGGGAAGAAAGCCUUGGGGCUAAUACCCUCGAGGAAGGACAUCACCCACAGAAGAAGCACCGGCUAACUCCGUGCCAGCAGCCGCGGUAAACGGAGGGUGCGAGCGUUAAUCGGAAUUACUGGGCGUAAAGCGCGCGUAGGCGGUCUGAUAAGCCGGUUGUGAAAGCCCCGGGCUCAACCUGGGAACGGCAUCCGGAACUGUCAGGCUAGAGUGCAGAAGAGGAAGGUAGAAUUCCCGGUGUAGCGGUGAAAUGCGUAGAGAUCGGGAGGAAUACCAGUGGCGAAGGCGGCCUUCUGGACUGACACUGACGCUGAGGUGCGAAAGCGUGGGUAGCAAACAGGAUUAGAUACCCUGGUAGUC
This 464-nucleotide ribosomal RNA is filed under the name Vreelandella stevensii. RNAcentral describes it as "partial 16S ribosomal RNA". It matches the Rfam family "Bacterial small subunit ribosomal RNA", at positions 338 to 795 of the family's 1533-position model. The record is from RNAcentral. Lineage: Bacteria; Pseudomonadati; Pseudomonadota; Gammaproteobacteria; Oceanospirillales; Halomonadaceae.